CACUGGAUCUGGGUCCUUGCCACCUCUUCCUGCUAUCAUCUACGCACAAGCAGGCCCCCGAACGGCGUCUGCCUCCCUUUUGGGUGCAGGGGACGCCGCACCAAGCCCGAUGCCCAGCUGUCGCAGCCCUGCACGGUGCUCUGCAGGCCGUCAGCCGCGUCGAGGUCCGCUAUCUGCAUUCGUCUGCAUCGCUCCACGGGUCGGGUCCCUUUCCUAUCAGCACGAAGGAUCGACCUGAAUCGGAGGAGCUUGUCGUGCCACGACGGCGUCCCGCCGACCAGACUCGCCCAGACCGCAAAGACGUCGCAGUGUCUGUCGAAGCUACUGAGGAGGUCUUGCCAGCAUACGACGGCCGCUUUGCGCUGCUGGGGAUGGUGCACUGUGCAUUUCCGCGGUGCAUCACCGCCGCCAGCAAGCGACGCGGGAUGUGUCGCGGACUGCACUCGCCUCUCUCUCUUCCUCAGCCACCUCGCUGAAGUCGCGCCGUUUUCUAGUAAAGCACCGCAGCCCUCCUCGAUAGAAGCGACGCCUGACCCCCUCCCAUCAGCAUCCGUGUCGUCGCCGUGGCCGCCUUCUGCGAGGACCAAAUCUCAGCUUAUCGCCGAGGAUGGGGUAGAGUCGGUGCUCGUGGUACAGCAGCAGAGGCGGCAGAGCACCGCCACCGUGCUCUCACAAGUUGCACUGGCAUUGUUUCACACAGCCAAGGAUUGCACGCGCGGCAGAAGCGGCGCUUGGGCAAACCGUAUUCGGAUGUGCGUUGUCCGCGACACAACUCUACCAGCAAGAAAAGCGCAUUCUUCACAUUCUACCGUCCGUGCUCCUCAACGUUGUCGUCUGGGUGUCGCUGGAGGUGCCUGCAAACACGCGCGGACUUCUCUAUCUCACCUGAUUGUGCCCUACUGCACGUCUCCGACGAUGGUGGUGGUGGGGGCAUGGAUGACGAUGCUGCUCAACCUCGUCGCGGUGCAUGUGGCUGCGUGUGCGCCGAACCUACACAUCCUCGGUGUGGCAGCCGACGUGCAGCGGCUGGCGCUGGGGACCUUACUAGCAGAGAGCACGGCUGCGGAGCGCUUGAUGGUUCACGCGGUGCAGCUGCUCUCCGACACCUCCGUAUUUUUCAAGGAAUCCUUGACGGCAGCACAGCAAGGGAGGGCGAAUCCGCUGAAACCUCCUCGUCACCUCGAAGGCCACACAAAAGGAAACCACCCCGCGUGUGACGCUGUUGCCACAGGCGCGCGCAUGAAUACCGUCCAGGACUGCAUGCCCGCGGGUACGCCUGCCCCUCAAUACGCGGGACACCUGCAGGCUGCGGUGACCGCGCGCGCUCCUGUACCUUCCGUGCUGGUGAAGCAGUGAUACAGAGCCUCACACGCGUCAGGAUGAUGCGCACAACGCUGCUAAGAGUCGGAUACAUUUCGCGGAACUCUGCUCGUUGCCUCCCAAUGCACUGCUCCUGCUUCUCUCUUGUCUUCCUCUUGCUGAUCUCUGUGUGAUGCACCGUCUCUUGCGCGGUGUACUGCGUCAAUCAUCUCUCGGACCUCCUCGGUGACGCGCCUCGCUUGUGCCGGGAAG
RNAcentral lists this unclassified non-coding RNA (1572 nucleotides) under Leishmania donovani. RNAcentral describes it as "gene:unknown". The record is from RNAcentral. Lineage: Eukaryota; Euglenozoa; Kinetoplastea; Trypanosomatida; Trypanosomatidae.